AGUGAACGCUGGCGGUAGGCCUAACACAUGCAAGUCGAACGGCAGCACAGUAAGAGCCUGCUCUUACGGGUGGCGAGUGGCGGACGGGUGAGGAAUACAUCGGAAUCUACUUUUUCGUGGGGGAUAACGUAGGGAAACUUACGCUAAUACCGCAUACGACCUACGGGUGAAAGCAGGGGAUCUUCGGACCUUGCGCGAUUGAAUGAGCCGAUGUCGGAUUAGCUAGUUGGCGGGGUAAAGGCCCACCAAGGCGACGAUCCGUAGCUGGUCUGAGAGGAUGAUCAGCCACACUGGAACUGAGACACGGUCCAGACUCCUACGGGAGGCAGCAGUGGGGAAUAUUGGACAAUGGGCGCAAGCCUGAUCCAGCCAUACCGCGUGGGUGAAGAAGGCCUUCGGGUUGUAAAGCCCUCUUGUUGGGAAAGAAAAGCAGCAGGUUAAUACCCCGCUGUUCUGACGGUACCCAAAGAAUAAGCACCGGCUAACUUCGUG
Molecule: ribosomal RNA, 492 nt
Filed under: uncultured bacterium
Lineage: Bacteria
Description: partial 16S ribosomal RNA
Rfam family: Bacterial small subunit ribosomal RNA
Source: RNAcentral